Molecule: ribosomal RNA, 482 nt
Filed under: uncultured bacterium
Lineage: Bacteria
Description: partial 16S ribosomal RNA
Rfam family: Bacterial small subunit ribosomal RNA
Source: RNAcentral
GACGAACGCUGGCGGCGUGCUUAACACAUGCAAGUCGAACGCUGAAGCUCAGCUUUUGUUGGGUGGAUGAGUGGCGAGCGGGUGAGUAACACGUGAGUAACCUGCCCCCUUCUUUGGGAUAACGCCCGGAAACGGGUGCUAAUACUGGAUAUUCACUGGUCUUCGCAUGGGGGUUGGUGGAAAGGGUUUUUCUGGUGGGGGAUGGGCUCGCGGCCUAUCAGCUUGUUGGUGGGGUGAUGGCCUACCAAGGCUUUGACGGGUAGCCGGCCUGAGAGGGUGACCGGUCACAUUGGGACUGAGAUACGGCCCAGACUCCUACGGGAGGCAGCAGUGGGGAAUAUUGCACAAUGGGCGCAAGCCUGAUGCAGCGACGCCGCGUGAGGGAUGGAGGCCUUCGGGUUGUGAACCUCUUUCGCUCAUGGUCAAGCCGCAACAAUGGUUGUGGUGAGGGUAGUGGGGAAAGAAGCGCCGGCUAACUACGU